GUUGCCAAAGCCACGAUCGAGCAUUUUCUCCCUCAACCUCCCACGGUCCAUUGCCCUAGUCAUUCACUCCACCAAAAUCCCACCCGAGACUUCAUCUCUGUCUCUUCCCCUCGAUGCUCACCAGAAGAACACACACACUUCAAAAAAAAAAAGAAAAAAAAACCUUAUGUUGCCCAUUUCUUCUCUCUCGGCUCCCACACAAAAGUAAAAAAAAAAGAAACCCCUGUGGCUGCUCCUCCCCUUCCACCCGUCACCGUGCCCGAGGCCACCAUCACCCCGCAUCGCGCCACCUCCCCGCCGUUGAACUUUGCCGAUGAGCACCCCACCCGAGCCGCCCGCGUCUGCCACCGGCCGCCUGCGCCGGGUCCGCAAAAGAAACUGCCGCAGUGGAACAACCCGUGGUCGGCCGCCAUCUGUCGCCAAAAGUCCGCAGCCGCCACCAGCCGGAGCUCGUGA
Molecule: long non-coding RNA, 456 nt
Filed under: Phoenix dactylifera (date palm)
Lineage: Eukaryota; Viridiplantae; Streptophyta; Magnoliopsida; Arecales; Arecaceae
Description: long non-coding RNA (PDAC_LNC015298)
Source: RNAcentral